CUACGGGCUGCUGCAGUGAGGAAUAUUGCACAAUGGGGGGAACCCUGAUGCAGCAACGCCGCGUGGAGGAUGACGCAUUUCGGUGUGUAAACUCCUUUUAUAUGUCAAGAAAAUGACGGUAGCAUAUGAAUAAGCACCGGCUAACUCCGUGCCAGCAGCCGCGGUAAUACGGAGGGUGCAAGCGUUACUCGGAAUCACUGGGCGUAAAGGGCGCGUAGGCGGGUUGGAAAGUCAGGUGUGAAAUCCUACAGCUUAACUGUAGAACUGCACUUGAAACUUCUAAUCUAGAGUAUGGGAGGGGGAGAUGGAAUUAGUGGUGUAGGGGUAAUAUCCGUAGAUAUCACUAGGAAUACCUAAAGCGAAGGCGAUCUCCUGGAACAUUACUGACGCUAAGGCGUGAAAGCGUGGGGAGCAAACAGGAUUAGAUACCCCUGUAGUC
Molecule: ribosomal RNA, 439 nt
Filed under: uncultured bacterium
Lineage: Bacteria
Description: partial 16S ribosomal RNA
Rfam family: Bacterial small subunit ribosomal RNA
Source: RNAcentral